CUGGUUACGCAAGUGUGUGAUUAAAAGGGAAUUCCGUGCAAAUCGGAAACAGUCCCGCUGCUGUAAACGACCAUUCAUAGGCUGCGACGCUACACAAUCCACUGAAUAACAUCGGGAAGGAAGUCGCCGUCGGUCGAAGUCAGAAGACCUGCCGUGGCUA
RNAcentral lists this non-coding RNA (160 nucleotides) under human gut metagenome. The record is from RNAcentral.